Molecule: unclassified non-coding RNA, 192 nt
Filed under: uncultured fungus
Lineage: Eukaryota; Fungi
Description: sequence contains ITS1
Source: RNAcentral
UUAACUAUUAUAUAGUACUCAGACGACACUAAUAUUCAGGGUUGGGGGUCCUCUGGCGAGCACUCACCAGCCGAAGCCGGUGGCCGAGGCGGCUCGCCAAAGCAACAAAGGGUAUAACAACAUAGGGUUGGAGAGUCACCCGUGAGGGCGAUGUUCUCUGUAAUGAUCCCUCCGCAGGUUCACCUACGGAGA